ACAGCCAAAACAAGGAUGAAGCACAGUCAAUAGCUCCUGGAGCAUCAGCUUUUACUACACUCUGGCCCAGAUCCUUUCUUGAGUCAGCCAAUGUCAACAGGUAGGUAACUGAAGGUCCUCAGUUGUUCUGACAGAAAUCAAAAGUCUGAUGUACCCAUUAUGAGGCAUGAUCAAAUCAUACAGUGGAUGUUUAAAUUUUUUUAAAAAAUCAUUACAGUAAAAGACACAUUGCCACGAAUCCCCUUUGAGAUGCCCUCCUCUCUUGGAACACACUCACCUCGUCAUUCCUGCCACCUUCUUAUGCAAUUCUGGAAGUCUUCCUUCAUGCCUUUAGUUCUACUAUAGUUGCUUUGAUGUCCUGAACUAAUUCAAAAUGUUUAAUUUUCAUGGUCAUGUUGACUCUAGGGAAAAGCCAGAGCCACAGUGUGAAUAUUUUGAAUGGAUUCGGGACACUGAGUCAGCCACAAAAAGGCGCUCUCCAAAGAGGACUUGCAGAACCACUUCAGAAAGUGGAAAGCAUGGUGGAAUAAGCACGCCUGAAGUAGGGGAGGAUAUUCUGAAGGGAGAAGAAAGAGUUUAUGUGUGCAGGUCCCAGUAUCCUCAGACAAUUCUCAUGCAUAUCCAGGACUGAGAACCCCUCCCAAAGAGAAAUCCCCACCAUCUGGGGAAACCUGAAGGAGAAAAUAACUAAGUGCAUUGUUUUCUUGGUAGUAGGUUGAUCCUGAGAGGCAGAACAUCUGUUUGUGAUCUACUCUGAAGGAACAAGUGUUAUGGUUUAUGUCUGUGUGUCCCCCCAAAGCCUCAUGCGGCCAUAGGGCAGGCUUUUAGAGUUUGAAGGGUGUGAGAGCUGCACCUGCCCUGGGGUGGAUAGUUUGCAUAUGUAAGGGAGAGGAAGAGAGUGCUUGAGGCCAUUCUUGCCCCAUGCUGCCUUGGUGUGUGUUUGUUGCUUUUGCUGUGUUCUGUGCUAGGAGCUGUAGCUCUCUGCCAUGUGCCACUCUGCCUUAUAAUCUGCCAAGUACGGACUGAAACCUCCACAAACUGUAAGUGAAAUAAACCUUUCCUUCCUUCAUUUUGGCCCUCAGGUAUUUUGUCCCAGCAAUGAGAAAAAAGUAACGAAAACAACAAGCCUGUGUGGUUGCUUUCUCUCCUACAAUUUCUAGAGAAGUGACCUAGCUUGGAGGAAUACGGGCGAGUUGUAGUUAAGGUAACUGCUAGAGAUUGCCCACUACUGAAAAUCUUCUGUAUCAAAAUCAAGAGUGUCCCAGGCAGAGUGGCAUGAUGACGGAUUGUCUUCUGACUGAAUCAGCAUCCUAGGGACUGAAGCCUCAAAUACAGACCAGGGGAGCCUGCCCAGGUAGGGGGGCCUCUGUUCUCGGCUCCAGUUUCCUCUAGCAGUGGAGCAGGCAUCUCUGGGGGAAUCCUAUAGCCACAGGUUGGGCAUAAGUAGGUGCAGCAACCAAGAUGGAGUGAGGGCCAGAGAGUUUCCUUACUUCUGCAUGAAGCAAGCACUGUGGAUCUGGAGAGUCCCACAACAGUCAAGAAGUCUUCUUAGAACGACCAGAUUGGAUUUCCUGCCAAUCCAGAAGGAUGGAGCAAAGCCAGGCUGGAUGACAUUAAGAUAAAUAAUGACAUGCGAUGUGUGUCACACUUCAGUGCUGGAUACACUCUUUAAAAAACAAUAAAGUCCUACAUUAGUUAAGUGGGGGAGGGAGAAAUAUGGAGAUUUACAAAGAACUUAGAAAACGAAAUGGCAAGGAGUAUAUCUAAACCAUCCUAGGUCCUGAUCCUUGUGUUGAGUGGCCCUGGGACCAAACAUGAGUGAUUUAGGUGCUUAUUCAAGAAAUUGCUUGCUCCUGGAAGCUUAGACAGUGACCACCUGCACGGCUUACUUAUCAAGACCACAGCUUGGC
Molecule: long non-coding RNA, 1910 nt
Organism: Chinchilla lanigera (long-tailed chinchilla)
Lineage: Eukaryota; Metazoa; Chordata; Mammalia; Rodentia; Chinchillidae
Source: Ensembl